UCAAAGGAAUUGACGGGGAGCACCACAAUGGGUGGAGCUUGCGGUUUAAUUGGAUUCAACGCCGGAAAUCUUACCGGGACCGACAGCAAUAUGAAGGCCAGGCUGAAGACUUUGCCGGAUUAGCUGAGAGGUGGUGCAUGGCCGUCGUCAGUUCGUACUGUGAAGCAUCCUGUUAAGUCAGGCAACGAGCGAGACCCACGCCCACAGUUGCCAGCGUACUCUCUGGAGUGACGGGUACACUGUGGGACCGCCGCUGCUAAAGCGGAGGAAGGAAUGGGCAACGGUAGGUCAGUAUGCCCCGAAUAUCCCGGGCUACACGCGAGCUACAAUGGUUGGUACAAUGGGUAUCUACCCCGAAAGGGGACGGGAAUCUCCUAAAACCAAUCUUAGUUCGGAUUGAGGGCUGCAACUCGCCCUCAUGAAGCUGGAAUCCGUAGUAAUCGCGUUUCAACAGAACGCGGUGAAUACGUCCCUGCUCCUU
Molecule: ribosomal RNA, 481 nt
Filed under: uncultured Methanosaeta sp.
Lineage: Archaea; Methanobacteriati; Methanobacteriota; Methanomicrobia; Methanotrichales; Methanotrichaceae
Description: bacterial SSU rRNA
Rfam family: Archaeal small subunit ribosomal RNA
Source: RNAcentral